Long non-coding RNA from Physeter macrocephalus (sperm whale), 3047 nucleotides. RefSeq lists it as uncharacterized. NCBI's taxonomy places the organism in Eukaryota, Metazoa, Chordata, Mammalia, Artiodactyla, Physeteridae. The record is from RefSeq and is a predicted model, not a curated record. The transcript has 8 exons.
UCUAUAUAUAUAUAAUAUUAUAGUAAAAUAGACAAAACAGAAGACCAGUGAUUAUUGAAAGCCAGCUAUAUCUCCAUCUCCACCACCUUGCUGAAAGAUCAGUAAGCCCGGUGUUUGUAACUGACAUCAGUGCAUUGGCAAAGGUCAAAUCUUCCAUCAUCCUGGGUUCCUCGCUACAGACUCAGUUUCCAGGCCACAUCACUUGGACUGAACGCAAUGAUGAAAUGUUUUCUCGAGUGCGGUUUAGUCUGUCAUAUCCUCUCACUUCCAGUAGGAGUUAGCGUGGACCAAAAGGAAGAGAGAUCAAUAGAAAGCAGGUUCCCAGGGUUCCAAACCAACGUCAGGACUUUGUAUAAAGCUAGAGAAAGAAGCUUUCUACCAGUGAUGGUUAAAAACCUGACCUCCAAAUAUGAAUAUCCCCAAAAGCAAAUGAAAGCUUCAACGACUUGAAUCAUCUCAGUUCCUAGAAAGGCUGAAAUGGCCAUUGAGAACUGAUUGUUCCAGUUCGGCUGGGGCUAAGUUACCAUGUGACAUUUUCAAUUAUUCUUCAGGAAGGUACUUGUAAUUUGGUUGCCUGGCAAUUUGGUUUUUUAAUAUAGUCACUUCGUCUUGAAGUUACAGAAUGUUGUGAGUGAGAACAACCGAGAAUAAACUUUGACUCACGACCAAGAUAGGAAUGAAUGAUCUUCUAUCAAUGUUUUCAUUUUGUCCCUAAGCCCCAUAACAGUCUGCAUUUUAGGAGGGUAUUCAUUGUAUUUUGCAUCCGUCCAAAGAGUGUAUGCAAGGGCUGCGGUAUUCUGAAUGGUAAUACCAUGUUACUGUCUCAGUCCAUUCAGGCUGUACAAUAGAAUACCAUACUCUGGAUGGCUUAUAAACAACAGACGUUUCUUUCUCACAGUUCUGGAAGCUGGAAGUCCAGGAUCAAGGUGCCAGCACAUUCGGUGUCUGGUGAGUACGCGCUUCCUGGUUCACAGAUGGCCGUCUUCUUACUGUGUCCUCACAUGGUAGAACGCCCUCAUCCUAUCAGGUGACGCCGCCCACUCUGGGGAGAGCCGUCUGCUUUACUGAAUCCACCUGUUCCAAUGCUCAUCUCAUCCAGAAACACCCUCGCAGGCACACCCAGUGUCAAUGGUGACGGGGAAAAUAGACGACCCUAAUGAUCUUUAGGAGAACUGUGUCUUUAUCCACCAUUGCUGAGCUGGGAAAACAGUCUCUUCAGAGAUCCGUCCUCAAGUACUUGCAAAAUAAUACACUUGGGAGAAGACGACGCACACACGCGGCUCAACAACGGGGCGCAGCGUGACGGGACGCGGGCGCCGACGGAGAAGCGCCCCGUGACGUUCGUGUCCCGGACCACAAAGGAGGCCGAGAGGUUCUCGGGCCUGGCGUGCACUUUGGAAUGGACGUGACCUGCAGCAGCGAGAAGAGGAAGGCCGGGUCAGGGGACGGAGAGCGCGAGAGCGGCCCUAGGCGGCAGCUCUGUCCCCCGAAAGCCAUCGAGAAUGCGGCAUUGCGGCCACCUCCUCACCUGGGUCACGCCCGAGGAUGCCUCCGUCCCGGCGGAUUCGUUGUGGGCACAGACUUCCGGAAACCACUGCACGCGAUACCGACUGACACCGGAAUCUGUAAGGUCGAGACCAAUCAGCCAAAAAGAACAGUCUGCAAGUCACAGCGCACGCAGCCCCAAGUUCUCCAAGCAUGACAGACCAGGAAGGAAGGACAGAGUCCCGCAGGUGAUCCAGAAUUGCGUACACCAACCAGAGGAGGCUGUAAGAGAGACUCGUCUCAAGUCUCUGAAUCCUACAUUUUUCUGACGAAGCUGAUGGAGAGGCUGUCAAGCCCAGGCAGGAACAAAAGCCUUGCCCUCAACGUGAAGACCUGGCCCUUCAGAUGUGCUCCGUCUCGAGCCUUGCUGUGACGGGGUCCCCUCAGCAGAAGAUACAGGGUGAACAGCCUCCCGGUGCCUUACGCGUAAUCGUGUUUUCAUAAGAGGAGGCACAGAGCAACACAUCGGACCCCUCAGCUCUCAACGCCGCCCUGCCCGAGUCCACGCCCACUCUCUCUGGAUCUGCCACCUCCGUGAAGAAUUUCACCCAAGCCCAAGGCUUUCCAAGACGGCUCUGCGUUUCUACCUUCACCUGAGCUGUUCCCUGGAGGAGCUGGUGUUCCCAACUUCCUGUCCCAUGUAGAUGCUUUUCAAACUCAGCACUUCUAAAACCACACCCUUUAUCCCUGCCCUCAAUUGCCCUUGCAUUCAGCUUGCCUCUUAUUUAAUCACGCCUUUUUGUUUUCUGUAUCUGUGAUGUUCUGACAUCUUGCAGCCUUGCCGACCCUGCAGGGACCGCCCUCGCAGGGUGGCCGCUGCCCAGGUAGCAAACGAUGCACCCGCAGGCCUGUGUGUCCCGUGAAGACCAGCCGACCCGGAGCCCCUCCUCUAUGGGGCCCUCACUCUGGGCCACCACCCUUAUCACCCCGGGGCCAGGCGCCAGGCAGCUGGGGACAGCCCCUGCACCAGAGCCCCCGGAAAGUAUCCCAACUAGCCAAUCCCGAGAGCAUCUUGCCUUUCCUACUCCCCAGAGUAAAGGCUCAUGAGCACAGUUUCCUGCUUCCUGACUGACCCUGGUGCCUCCCCGUGUGGCCCGAGUGGUGGUGGAGGGCCCCCCUCCUGGGAGCUGUGAGUAACAAACUACCUUCUCAGUGGCCGUUGUCUCUGGAUCUGUUGCCUUCACCAAACCCGAAUAAAACCCACUCUUUAAAACAUGAUUAAAAUGAACAGGCUGUCUUUUAAGCAGUCCUUCAUGGCACUUUUUCAGACACAUACACAGGAGUCCACAGUCUUCCAAGCUUAAUCAAAAACUGGCAUGCGUUUCUCAUGCAGGUCUAUACAAUCGGUUCUCGUUAUUCACACAAGUGAGGGUUUAGAAAAUCACCGUGAAUGCCAGGUUAGCAAAUCCUGGACGGCUGUUUCUUGGAGAAAUACAGUGUUAGUUUCCCGUGAGCUUCCGGUCACCACAUUUUUUGCCAGCCAGUCAAUACAUAAUCUUAUU